This 92-nucleotide ribosomal RNA is filed under the name Shewanella sp. Sh95. The record is from RNAcentral. Lineage: Bacteria; Pseudomonadati; Pseudomonadota; Gammaproteobacteria; Alteromonadales; Shewanellaceae.
CAUUGUGGUCCCACCUGAUCCCAUCCCGAACUCAGAAGUGAAACGCAAUCGCGCCGAUGGUAGUGUGGGGUCUCCCCAUGUGAGAGUAGGUC